Molecule: ribosomal RNA, 253 nt
Filed under: uncultured bacterium
Lineage: Bacteria
Description: partial 16S ribosomal RNA
Rfam family: Bacterial small subunit ribosomal RNA
Source: RNAcentral
GACGUAGGGCGCGAGCGUUGUCCGGAUUUAUUGGGCGUAAAGAGCUCGUAGGCGGUCUGUCGCGUCGAAUGUGAAAACCCGGGGCUCAACCCCGGGCCUGCAUUCGAUACGGGCAGACUAGAGUUCGGUAGGGGAGUCUGGAAUUCCUGGUGUAGCGGUGAAAUGCGCAGAUAUCAGGAGGAACACCGGUGGCGAAGGCGGGACUCUGGGCCGAUACUGACGCUGAGGAGCGAAAGCGUGGGGAGCGAACAGG